This 85-nucleotide transfer RNA is filed under the name Enhygromyxa salina. RNAcentral describes it as "tRNA-Pro". Lineage: Bacteria; Pseudomonadati; Myxococcota; Nannocystales; Nannocystaceae. The record is from RNAcentral.
GUUCGGGCUCGGCCGGUUGUUCGGGCUCGGCCGGCUUGGGCUCGGCCGUUGGCUCGGGCUUCGGUUCGGGUUCGGGUUCGGGGGC